Non-coding RNA from Aedes albopictus (Asian tiger mosquito), 71 nucleotides. Lineage: Eukaryota; Metazoa; Arthropoda; Insecta; Diptera; Culicidae. The record is from Rfam.
CUUCUCGUGGUGUAGUGGUAACGCGCCUAUCUAGUGAGUAGGAGUCGUGGGUUUGAGUCUCACCGAGAGGA